Mus musculus (house mouse) is the source of this 1313-nucleotide long non-coding RNA. RefSeq annotates it as predicted gene, 30989. The record is from RefSeq and is a predicted model, not a curated record. NCBI's taxonomy places the organism in Eukaryota, Metazoa, Chordata, Mammalia, Rodentia, Muridae. The transcript has 3 exons.
CACACCUGGGGCCAGGAUGGUUGUCAGGGAGCACAGAUUUUGGGUUGUUUUCUUCAGCCCAAACCCAGGGAGAGCACCGGGCUAUUGUGUGAGCAAGAAUGGGGUAGCUGUGGGUGUGUCUGCAAGGCGCUUCUAGGACCUGUCUUGGCCCUGGAUGAGGAGAUCACUGACAGGGUCCAGACUCCCUGUGGAGAGCCCAGGGGUCUCUUCUCACAGUUCUACUACCAGAGGCACUGUGUGCUUUAGGGAAAACUGGAAAGUGUUAUUGCCCAACAACAGUGAGGUCUGAUGACCCACACGUGUAGUUUCAGUACAUGGGAGGCUGAGACAGGAGGCGUGCAGUGAGUUCAAGGCCAGCCUGGACAUCUUAUACUGUAAGGCUAUGUCUUAAGAACAAACAGGACAGCCUCCCCAUUCCUCUGGGCAUGGACUUGAAGAGAGAAAUGAUGGAUGACUCUCUCAGCUGAGAUACCAGUGAAGGAUCUGUGUGAGCACCAUGCACAGCCUCGCAGCCACUGGCUCCUAAGUUGACACCAUUUGUUUUUCUUGUUCCAUUGGCAGUUUUUCCAAACCUUUCAGAACUUUCUCAAGGUAAGACCUUUCUCCUGGCAGAACUAACUUCUGUCUGAAGCCUCCCCAAACUUGGUUUGGGGUUUACUCUAACCCCAAGAACUUCCUUUGGUUAUCCUGGGUCCUGAGUUCCGAGUUUAAAUUUUUCCUAGGUUUCAUGGCUUGGACUAGGAUCUGUGGGCCCAGGAAUCAAGGGGUGGAAAAGGAAAUAGUUGCACUCACAAUCACCCCUAGCAACCUAGUAGAGACAUUUUUGCUUCCUGUUCCUGCAGCCUUAAGUUCUGCUGGCCUAGGAGUUUUGGUUCCAGAGGAGGGAGCGCUCUUGCCAGGAGACACACAAAUACUCCAUUGCUCAGACUUCCCCUUGGCCACUUUGGGUUUCUGAUGCCCUGAAGCCCACAGACUAAGAAAGGAUAAGAGUUUUAGGAGGGACGACUGAUCCAGAUUACCAUGGGGACAUUGGAUUGCUUCUCUACAAAGGAGCCAUAGGAUGCGGAAGGAGGAAGCUUGCCCUCUCUGCCUGCUUGCUCUCACUAUCAAUGCCAGUCCAUUCCUUCACUGGCAUUAGAGCCUACUUCUUCAGGAUUCUAGUGUAUACUGAAGACCAGAUGAGAUAUCCAGCCUCAUAUACUGAACAACUAUUGGAUUCUUGGUCCUUCUGUUUGGUAGACCGCUAUUGUUGCAUUAGGUGGGCCACAACCUAUACAGCAUUCUAAUAAAUCUUUUGUGUGUGUGUGUGUCCA